Long non-coding RNA from Equus caballus (horse), 555 nucleotides. RefSeq lists it as uncharacterized. The record is from RefSeq and is a predicted model, not a curated record. NCBI's taxonomy places the organism in Eukaryota, Metazoa, Chordata, Mammalia, Perissodactyla, Equidae.
CCACACCACCUUACCCUCCCAGAGUGACACAAACCCCAGGUCCAGCCCCACAGGCGCGCUUAGAGACUCCCGCGAGUUAGAGACCCACGACUACGGAAGUGCUCACGAACAACACGGUUACACUUGACCUCUAUGCACACACACAAACACACGACACAAACUCACACACAGCGCCCCAAAAGAUUAAAUUCCCUGAAAUUGGGUCUGGAGAAGAAGUGAGGGGGCGUCAGCCCGAAGGCUUCAUCCCCAAGACCGGGACACGGGAAUCCCAGAGGGCUGUCAGGACGAAGAGGCUCCAUCUAAACGGGCCGGGGUCGGGGGCGGCCUGUCUCUGCCACUGCCGUGCCCGGGCGAGGGCGCCGACAGCCAGGGGUUCGCCGGGGGCCGGUCUGCGGACCCGGAUCCCCGCAAGGACCGCCACGCGCCCGGAUUCUUGGUCUGCUUUGUGAACUUCGCUCUUACGAAAAGUUAAACAAGACAAAGACGAGAAGUCUCACUUAGGAGGGUCUAACGAAUUACCUUUACAGACAAGAAUAAAACUUCAAGAAAAUUAAA